This 509-nucleotide ribosomal RNA is filed under the name uncultured bacterium. Its description in RNAcentral is "bacterial SSU rRNA". It matches the Rfam family "Bacterial small subunit ribosomal RNA", at positions 19 to 518 of the family's 1533-position model. The record is from RNAcentral.
CUGGCUCAGGAUGAACGCUAGCGACAGGCUUAACACAUGCAAGUCGAGGGGCAGCAUAAAAGUAGCAAUACUUGGUGGCGACCGGCGCACGGUGAGUAACGCGUAUGCAACCUACCUAUCGAGAGGGGGAGUAACCCGGCGAAAGUCGGACUAAUACCGCAUAAAACAGGGGCACCGCAUGGUGAUAUUUGUUAAAGAUUAAUUGCUGAUAGAUGGGCAUGCGUUCCAUUAGGUAGUUGGUGAGGUAACGGCUCACCAAGCCGACGAUGGAUAGGGGAACUGAGAGGUUGGUCCCCCACACUGGUACUGAGACACGGACCAGACUCCUACGGGAGGCAGCAGUGAGGAAUAUUGGUCAAUGGGCGAGAGCCUGAACCAGCCAAGUCGCGUGAAAGGAAGAAGGAUCUAUGGUUCGUAAACUUCUUUUGCAGGGGAAUAAAGUGGAGGACGUGUCCUCUUUUGUAUGUACCCUGAGAAUAAGGAUCGGCUAACUCCGUGCCAGCAGCAGC